This 6048-nucleotide unclassified non-coding RNA is filed under the name Priapulus caudatus. RNAcentral describes it as "f-box only protein 11-like, transcript variant X1". Lineage: Eukaryota; Metazoa; Priapulida; Priapulimorpha; Priapulimorphida; Priapulidae. The record is from RNAcentral.
GAAAAUGGCUGCUCUCUAUUGAAAGUGUUCUUUUGCAUUAUCAAUACGUAUUACACUGUUUCCUUGAAUAUUGACAAGAAUGUCUUCAAAUUCAAUGAGAGCUACACGUAUAAAUACUCGCAGAUCAUGUAGGAAAUCAAGGAAAAGGCUACCAUUGCCUGGAAUAGAGGGCGAUGUUGCUAGCGCGGAGCCAGCAGCAGCAUGCGUUGCCCACCCAUCAAGUCCAACACCUAGUCAAACUUCACAUCCAUAUCACUUGCGCCGAACGUCGUUACGGCGGGAUGUUAGUCCAGUAUCAGCGGCAAACACGCCGCGUAAACGGCAGAGGCGGUCAAGGUCGGCACAGGACGAGGCCUCCCAAGGUAGCAGUACGGCUGCAUAUUUUUUACAAUAUGAACUUCCAGAUGAGGUGAUACUAAACAUAUUCUCUUACCUGCUAGAGCAGGAUCUGUGUCGUGUGUCACAAGUGUGCAAGCGUUUUAACACCGUUGCCAAUGAUUCAGAGCUAUGGAAAACAUUGUACCAAAGUGUGUUCGAGUAUGAUCUUCCAUUGAUGAACCCUAAGCCGUGCAAGUUUGAGUUCAUUCAGCCAGAUGAAUCUGAGUACGAAAACCCUUGGAAAGGAAGUUUCAAGUCUUUGUAUCGAGGUUUGCACGUCAGACCUGGGUUCCAUGCCAAAUAUGAAGAAGCUCCAGAAAGGUACAAGGGAAGGCACAUAUCGUUCUUUGAGACGAUAGAAGCAGCGUUUAACGACUCUGAGGAUAUGAAGCAUCCAUUGGUGUUCAUUCACAAGGGCAUGUACAGUGGUGAAUGGCUUAUCAUUGACACAAAUGUGCAACUCAUCGGUGCUGCACCAGGCAACGUAGCGGAACAUGUGAUAUUAGAACGACAAAGUGAAUCUACAAUAAUGUUUGUGGAGGGCGCCAAUCAGGCAUAUCUGGGAUAUGUCACACUAAAGUUCUGUCCAGAUGUGACGUCGUCAGUGCCACCUCACAAACACUACUGUCUAGAGGUGACAGAGAACUGCUCCCCAGUAGUGGAUCAUUGUGUCAUCCGCAGCACUUCUGUCGUCGGUGCGGCCGUGUGUGUGUCCGGCGUCGGCGCCGAUCCAGUGAUCAAGCACUGUGAUGUGAGCGACUGCGAAAACGUGGGACUCUACGUGACCGAUUACGCACAGGGAACAUAUGAGGACAAUGAGAUCAGUAGAAAUGCACUGGCUGGAGUGUGGGUGAAAAACCACGCUAAUCCCAUCAUGAGGCGUAAUCACAUACACCAUGGCCGUGAUGUUGGAAUAUUCACGUUCGAAAACGGGCAGGGUUACUUCGAAGCGAACGACAUCCACAACAAUAGGAUCGCUGGCUUUGAGGUGAAGGCGGGCGCCAACCCGACGGUGGUCAGUUGCGAGAUCCACCACGGUCAGACGGGGGGCAUCUACGUGCACGAGAACGGCCGCGGUCAGUUCCUCGAGAACAAGAUCCACAACAACAGCUUCGCGGGCAUCUGGGUGACGUCCAACAGCGACCCGACGAUCAGGCGGAAUGAGAUUUAUGAUGGGCACCAAGGUGGAGUGUACAUAUUUGGAGAAGGAAGAGGGCUCAUUGAAUACAAUAAUAUAUAUGGAAAUGCACUGGCAGGAAUCCAGAUACGAACUAAUAGCAACCCAAUUGUGAGGCACAAUAAAAUCCACCAUGGCCAGCAUGGGGGCAUAUAUGUGCACGAGAAGGGUCAAGGUCUGAUUGAGGAGAACGAGGUCUAUUCCAACACGCUGGCCGGUGUGUGGAUCACCACGGGAAGCACGCCCGUGCUCAGGAGGAAUAGGAUACACAGCGGCAAACAGGUGGGCGUGUACUUUUAUGAUAAUGGUCACGGAACAUUGGAAGAAAAUGAUAUAUUCAACCAUCUCUAUUCCGGCGUUCAAAUCCGGACGGGCAGCAAUCCUCUGAUCAAGAAGAACAAGAUCUGGGGCGGGCAGAACGGCGGCGUGCUCGUCUACAACGGCGGCCUCGGCGUGCUCGAGUGCAACGAGAUCUUCGACAACGCGAUGGCCGGCGUCUGGAUCAAGACGGACAGUAACCCCGUGCUGCGACGCAACAAGAUACACGACGGCAGGGACGGCGGCAUAUGCAUCUUCAACGGAGGCAGAGGUGUGCUUGAGGAGAACGACAUUUUCCGCAACGCGCAGGCCGGCGUGCUGAUCAGCACGCAGAGCCACCCGACGUUGCGAACGAACCGCAUCUUCGACGGCAUGGCGGCCGGCGUCGAGAUCACGAACAACGCGACGGCGACGCUCGAGGGAAACCAGAUCUUCAACAACAAGUUCGGCGGCCUGUGUCUCGCCAGCGGCGUGUCACCGGUCCUCAAGGAUAACAAGAUCUUUGACAAUCGUAACUCAGUGGAAAAGGCAGUGAAAAGUGGCCAGUGCCUGUACAAAAUAUCCAGCUACACUAGCUUCCCAAUGCAUGACUUCUACAGGUGUCGAACAUGUAACACGACUGAUCGCAAUGCCAUCUGUGUUAAUUGCAUCAAAGUUUGCCAUGCCGGCCACAAUGUGGAGUUCAUCAGGCAUGAUAGGUUUUUCUGUGACUGUGGUGCAGGUACGCUGAACAACUCGUGCCUGCUACAGGGUGAGCCGACGCAAGACACAGACACCCUGUACGAUUCGGCUGCGCCCAUGGAGUCGCACACACUCAUGGUCAACUAGCAGCAGCACCUACGCUCGACGUCAUGUGAGGCGGUGGCAAGGCCAGAGCCUCUCUCUCUCCGAGAAAUAGCACCUCUACUCCUCUAUUCUUCCUCCUCAUUAUCAUCAUCAUCAUCACCAUCAUCGUCAUCAACAUCAUCGUCAUAGUCUCCAUGUUCUUCCUCGUGCCCUGACGGGAGUUUCUUCUCAUCUCUUGUACAUUUUUCACUCAUACACAUGUCAACGAAACCCAUCAAAUGUGGUGACGGUGGUGGUGACGGUAGUGGUGGUAUCGGUGGGAGGUGACAGAAGCAUUCGUGGUCCUCGAUCGUUGGCGUUUCUGUGUACGGGGGGUGAGCGGUCGGUCGCUAGCACGUGGUGGACUCGCGCUGAAAAGAUGCGUUGCUAUGCAGAGAGGAGCACAGCAUGUUGCCGAGUGAUAUUGUGAGGAAGACUUGUACGCUUGCUGGUAUGUUUUCACGUGGACCAAUCUGUCCUGGUCUCUCUUUCUUCCUCUUUCUCUCUCUCUCUCUCUCUCUCUCUCUCUCUCUCUUUGCACGUGUGUGUGUGUUCGCAUGCAUGUUGUGUCACAUUCCUCGUGUUGGUGUACUGUAAAAACGUGAUCUAAUUGUGAAAAUGGAAAAAGUCGAGGUCUUUCUAUUUCCUAUGUAAAUUGGUGCACCAAGACAGUCAUGUUCUCUGCCCGUGUCCACCACAGUUGUACCGGAGUUUAGACGUUGUGUACUCAGAUGGGGGUUAGUGUUUAACACUUACUGCUGUAGUUCGAUUAUUAACACUUAUAACCACGAUAAGCAUAUGCCUUCUAACCCUUAUUGGCCUUCAAAAAAGCUUCCUCGUGAAAUAGUACUUGCAGCUAGCAGCAUGUGAAUCGACAUGCAUUGCGCGACGUUGCAAUGCGAGCUGCAAUGUGAAUAGUAGUGUCUAACCAGGAUGAACAUUUAUAGUCGCAGUAGUAGCAGUACUUCUGGGGCCAGUUGUUUCUUCCAGAUUCCUAUUCCAUUCCACUUCAAUUCCUUUGAUUUCAUUUUGGUUUUAAUUGCCUUUAUCGACUGUUGAGAUGAAACCGAUCUAUCUUAAAGAUGUAUGCUGUUGGUAACUGACCCCCAAAACUAGCCAUGAAUCUGAAGUGAUGCAGCCAGGGGUUGAAUCUGUGUGACAGGUGUAUGAUACCUAUGUGAUUGUCUAGCUCACUGCAGUGGUAUUCACGAUUGGACCAUGGCCUCUUGAACCCUUCUAAUUCAUACGUUUUGUGUUCACUACGUGUGAAUUCUGAGAGCUAGACGAAGUGCUGAUAUGCAGCGUGUGUUUGACUGGCUGGAAGAAAGUGAGGUGACAUUAAGUGGUCUCAUAAAGAAUGUGUGUGUUUACACUACGUGUUAAUAUCACCUUCAAAAUAACAGAGGGGCAGUGCAGUGGCGUGUUUGUGAGACGUGAAUUAGGUACGAGUGUGAGCCGUGCACUUUGGUUCCGCGACGUAGUUUUGUGAUGGUGGGCAUCUAGAGUCUGGUUAUGUUAGAGAUUUUGGUACGUUCACAAUCAGCAGGGUCUUCAAAAUUUUGGUUAAAAACCACCCAAAUAAUUUCUUUACCAUUUUAAUUUACAAUGCCAUGAGCAAACUGUCUCGUGAAAUAGUUGUGUCGUGAUAUUGUGGACUGAUAUACCUUCGAUAUAGUGACUGUGAGAUAGACACUUCCACUCCUGGCCAACCUUGUUUCCCCAACAUUAGCAGUUCUUGGUCAAUUUAUUUCAGUGGUGCCUACUAAAAUUGGUUUUUUGAUGGGUUCUUGAAUUCAGGUAACUUUGCAUAACUGGUGAAAAUAAUGUACAUAUUUUAUUACAUAACGUAUAGUGUUGUGCUUACCUAUAGACUGUAUACUCUAGAACAUAAUGUGAAAGUUCCCUUACCGAAGGCAAGCGACGCCUUGCUGCAACUUUUGCUCGCAAGCUGUGCUUUGCACACUUGAUUACUGAUGCUGUGUCAGCGUGGAAUACUGCUAGCUACAGGUCAAUGUCACUAGCGCGCACAGCGGCUGCCGUGGCACGUUGCAAACGCACGAUCGUAGACCUUGCAAAUGUUUCUCACGUUAUUCGCGAUUGCCCAAUGAUAGACGGAGGUCUACCGUGAUCCUUCCGUCGAAGGUAGUGGUAAUGUGUUGUACCGAAGAGGAGCAUGGUGGCUCUAAACAUUGGUUAUGUGGAAAUAAUGUGCGUGUGUCGGUGCAUGCAUGCAUGCAUGCAUGCAUACAUGGGUGGGCAUGGGAAUGUGUGGGUGUGUGUGCAUGUGGGGUGUGCGCGUGUGUCCAUGCAUGUGAUGAUGUGAGUGCGUGUGAGGGUCAGUAUAUAUAGAAGCUAAUCAUGAUUUUUCUGACAAUUUAUUCGGAGACAGCAUCUCGUCUCGUCGUCUAGGUGACUUAUUUUUACAUGAAUAUAUGUAUAUAUAUAUAUAUUCGCCACGUAAUUGGAUGAUAUGAUUUGCGCGAGACCACGUCCAGGGGCUCCUGAUUGAUAUCAGAUAUAAACUGGCACGCUAGCCUGUCCGUGGCGACAAUCGCUUGUUGGCAACAGACGCCGUUAUUGUGACACCUGCGAUGUAUGUAAUAUGUGUUCAUAGCUUAUUGAUUGGAUAGGCCAUUUAUCAAAGUAUGUAAUUUUUUUUCUGCCCAGGUUAUCGAUUCGUUUACUUUUCUUUAUCAUUAUUCUAGCCGAGCUUGUUUUGUUAUUGUCCUCGAUUUUCUCUGGCCGAUUUAAUGACUGCCACUGUCUGCACGUUGUCCAUUUUAAAUAUAUCAGUUCGUUGUUAUUAUUAGUUUCAUUUGUAAAUUUUAGUUUGAAAUUUGGUUUGAUACGGGCCAUAUUUAGUUAAAGGGAUGUUACGGUGCACUUUAACAGCAACUGCCUUUAGUAUUACAAAUUAUAUAAUAAAUAUAUAUAUAUUGUAUCUAACACUAUUGUGUUACGACAUGUAAGUAAUUAGUGGAAAGCAGUCAGCGGUACAGGCGUUGGUUCCACUUUCAAUUUAAAUCGGAGCUAAAAACUUACCUUUACUCACAAUUUGUCGCCUAAAUAUUGACAAGUUGCUCACGUAUAUUCCUGAAAAGUAAAUUGCUUUUGCUAAAAACACUUAGUGAUGUAAUGCCAAAGCCGUUUGCAUGAAUUUGUAAUAUAUCAUUCUUUGACUUGAGAAGUCUUACUAGAAAAACUGUCGCACUCCCGUGACUCAAUAUUCAUUAUUGGGUGUUAGUGUAAGUAUGGAUGACUUAUUCAUAUUUAAAUUUCAACUGUGGCUCUGCUUGUACUUGUAAACCUGCCACCAGUGCUUCAAUAUACUGUGUCAAAUGGUAAAAUUA